RNAcentral lists this unclassified non-coding RNA (547 nucleotides) under Hevea brasiliensis (rubber tree). The record is from RNAcentral. Lineage: Eukaryota; Viridiplantae; Streptophyta; Magnoliopsida; Malpighiales; Euphorbiaceae.
AGAUGAUGGUUUAGCUUCAUCUUAACCUUGAAUACCCAGUUGUCGAAGUUGCAAAAUGUGUUGAUAAAGAACUUUCCACCCUCCCUUUGUUGCUAAGAUUGGGAAGAGGAUGACAUGGCUCCCUCAGAUCGGCGAGCAGCCUGGCUGGAAACUGAUGAUUUGUCCGAUCCACGAACAUUGUACUUUUCAUACACCUUUUCACGAUUCUCAGACCACCAAGUUUCUGCUUGGUGCUCGCCAAAUCUUCUCCGGCUGAAGCGCACUCGUUUAAGAUCUCUAGUUCCGUCAUGCAGGGCCAUCAGUGUUAUAUAUACACCAGGUUCAUACUGUUCAAUCCACUCGGCCUCUACUUGAUUGCUGCUAGCAACCAAUGAUGUACCCCUUGAUCUCACACCAGUCUCACCAUCAUGAAGAGAUCUAGAUUCCCUCCCGUCAACAGAAUCUGUCACAGUACUAAUUGACUGAAUCCCUCCACCACCAUUGGGCAGUCUUGUAUCUGGAUGGCCAACCCAUCCAUUGUUUGGAGUUGGAUCCCUGAAUGAAUGAG